This 719-nucleotide ribosomal RNA is filed under the name uncultured Alphaproteobacteria bacterium. RNAcentral describes it as "bacterial SSU rRNA". It matches the Rfam family "Bacterial small subunit ribosomal RNA", at positions 104 to 860 of the family's 1533-position model. The record is from RNAcentral. Lineage: Bacteria; Pseudomonadati; Pseudomonadota; Alphaproteobacteria.
GGGUGAAUAACGCGUGGGAAUAUGCCUUUUGGUACGGAACAACUUUUGGAAACGAAAGCUAAUACCGUAUGGUCCCUUCGGGGUAAAGAUUUAUCGCCAAAAGAUUAGCCCGCGUUGGAUUAGCUAGUUGGUGAGGUAAUGGCUCACCAAGGCGACGAUCCAUAGCUGGUCUGAGAGGACGAUCAGCCACACUGGGACUGAGACACGGCCCAGACUCCUACGGGAGGCAGCAGUUAGGAAUAUUGGACAAUGGACGCAAGUCUGAUCCAGCCAUGCCGCGUGAGCGAUGAAGGCCUUCGGGUUGUAAAGCUCUUUAGCCGACGAAUAUAAUGACUGUAGUCGGAAAAUAAGCCCCGGCUAACUUCGUGCCAGCAGCCGCGGUAAUACGAAGGGGGCGAGCGUUGUUCGGAAUCACUGGGCGUAAAGCGUGCGUAGGCUGUCUUGCAAGUUGGGAGUGAAAGCCCAGGGCUCAACCCUGGAAUUGCUCUCAAAACUGCAAGACUUGAAUCUCGGAGAGGAUAGCGGAAUUCCAAGUGUAGUAGUGAAAUACGUAGAUAUUUGGAGGAACACCAGUGGCGUAAGCGGCUAUCUGGACGAGUAUUGACGCUGAGGCACGAAAGCGUGGGGAUCAAACAGGAUUAGAUACCCUGGUAGUCCACGCCGUAAACGAUGUGAGUUUGUCGCUGGGGGGUUACCCUUCGGUGACGCAGCUAACGCGU